UCGGCUCAUCACAUCCUGGGGCUGAAGUAGGUCCCAAGGGUAUGGCUGUUCGCCAUUUAAAGUGGUACGCGAGCUGGGUUUAGAACGUCGUGAGACAGUUCGGUCCCUAUCUGCCGUGGGCGCUGGAGAAUUGAGGGGGGCUGCUCCUAGUACGAGAGGACCGGAGUGGACGCAUCACUGGUGUUCGGGUUGUCAUGCCAAUGGCACUGCCCGGUAGCUAAAUGCGGAAGAGAUAAGUGCUGAAAGCAUCUAAGCACGAAACUUGCCCCGAGAUGAGUUCUCCCUGACUCCUUGAGAGUCCUGAAGGAACGUUGAAGACGACGACGUUGAUAGGCCGGGUGUGUAAGCGCAGCGAUGCGUUGAGCUAACCGGUACUAAUGAACCGUGAGGCUUAACCUUACAACGCCGAAGGUGUUU
Molecule: ribosomal RNA, 417 nt
Filed under: Escherichia coli
Lineage: Bacteria; Pseudomonadati; Pseudomonadota; Gammaproteobacteria; Enterobacterales; Enterobacteriaceae
Description: partial 23S ribosomal RNA
Rfam family: Bacterial large subunit ribosomal RNA
Source: RNAcentral